Molecule: non-coding RNA, 330 nt
Organism: Pelodiscus sinensis (Chinese soft-shelled turtle)
Lineage: Eukaryota; Metazoa; Chordata; Testudines; Trionychidae
Source: RefSeq, a predicted model, not a curated record
AGGAUUUGUCCAACUCUAGUCCUGGAUUGCUGCAUUUGGAGGAGGUGGUAUUAGAAUGAACAGGACGAGAGAUCAGAGCCCUGAGUGAGGUGCUUGGUGCGGGAACAAAAGGAGGCCAACUCUGCAUCUUGGCAUUGGGCCCAACAUUUGCAAUGGAGCAUCUUGAAACUGCCAUCGCCUUUCCUGGGCAGAGACAAGAAUCUCUUCCCCUCCUGACCAGGCUGCACAGUUCCUUUCCUAUGGUGUGAAUUUCUCAGCAUGCCAGACUGCCGCAACAGAUCUGCUUUGCCUGCCUGCUGUGGAGACUACGAACAGCAGGAUUGCCACAGU